RNAcentral lists this unclassified non-coding RNA (176 nucleotides) under uncultured Talaromyces. Its description in RNAcentral is "sequence contains ITS1". The record is from RNAcentral. Lineage: Eukaryota; Fungi; Ascomycota; Eurotiomycetes; Eurotiales; Trichocomaceae.
CCGAGUGCGGGCCCUCGCGGCCCAACCUCCCACCCUUGUCUCUAUACACCUGUUGCUUUGGCGGGCCCACCGGGGCCACCCGGUCGCCGGGGGACGUCGUCCCCGGGCCCGCGCCCGCCGAAGCGCCCUGUGAACCCUGAUGAAGAUGGGCUGUCUGAGUACUAUGAAAAUUGUCA